UACGGGGGGGCAAGCGUUGUUUGGAAUUACUGGGCGUAAAGGGCUCGUAGGCGGCCAACUAAGUCCGACGUGAAAUCCCCAGGCUUAACCUGGGAACUGCGUCGGAUACUGGAUGGCUUGAAUUCGGGAGAGGGAUGCAGAAUUCCAGGUGUAGCGGUGAAAUGCGUAGAUAUCUGGAGGAAUACCGGUGGCGAAGGCGGCAUCCUGGACCGACAUUGACGCUGAUGAGCGAAAGCUAGGGGAGCAAACGGGG
This 253-nucleotide ribosomal RNA is filed under the name uncultured bacterium. Its description in RNAcentral is "partial 16S ribosomal RNA". It matches the Rfam family "Bacterial small subunit ribosomal RNA", at positions 524 to 777 of the family's 1533-position model. The record is from RNAcentral.